This 1197-nucleotide ribosomal RNA is filed under the name Burkholderia ubonensis. RNAcentral's name for it is "bacterial LSU rRNA". It matches the Rfam family "Bacterial large subunit ribosomal RNA", at positions 1746 to 2925 of the family's 2925-position model. Lineage: Bacteria; Pseudomonadati; Pseudomonadota; Betaproteobacteria; Burkholderiales; Burkholderiaceae. The record is from RNAcentral.
GUACGCCCUUGUAGCUUGACCAGCCUGCGCUGGAAGGGUGAAGGGGUUGCAAUAAACUGGUGGCUGCGACUGUUUAAUAAAAACACAGCACUCUGCAAACACGAAAGUGGACGUAUAGGGUGUGACGCCUGCCCGGUGCCGGAAGAUUAAAUGAUGGGGUGCAAGCUCUUGAUUGAAGUCCCGGUAAACGGCGGCCGUAACUAUAACGGUCCUAAGGUAGCGAAAUUCCUUGUCGGGUAAGUUCCGACCUGCACGAAUGGCGUAACGAUGGCCACACUGUCUCCUCCCGAGACUCAGCGAAGUUGAAGUGUUUGUGAUGAUGCAAUCUACCCGCGGCUAGACGGAAAGACCCCAUGAACCUUUACUGUAGCUUUGCAUUGGACUUUGAACCGAUCUGUGUAGGAUAGGUGGGAGGCUAUGAAACCGGAACGCCAGUUUCGGUGGAGCCGUCCUUGAAAUACCACCCUGGUUUGUUUGAGGUUCUAACCUUGGCCCGUGAUCCGGGUCGGGGACAGUGCAUGGUAGGCAGUUUGACUGGGGCGGUCUCCUCCCAAAGCGUAACGGAGGAGUACGAAGGUACGCUAGGUACGGUCGGAAAUCGUGCUGAUAGUGCAAUGGCAUAAGCGUGCUUAACUGCGAGACCGACAAGUCGAGCAGGUGCGAAAGCAGGUCAUAGUGAUCCGGUGGUUCUGUAUGGAAGGGCCAUCGCUCAACGGAUAAAAGGUACUCUGGGGAUAACAGGCUGAUACCGCCCAAGAGUUCAUAUCGACGGCGGUGUUUGGCACCUCGAUGUCGGCUCAUCUCAUCCUGGGGCUGUAGCCGGUCCCAAGGGUAUGGCUGUUCGCCAUUUAAAGAGGUACGUGAGCUGGGUUUAAAACGUCGUGAGACAGUUUGGUCCCUAUCUGCCGUGGGCGUUGGAUAUUUGAAGGGGGCUGCUCCUAGUACGAGAGGACCGGAGUGGACGAACCUCUGGUGUACCGGUUGUGACGCCAGUCGCAUCGCCGGGUAGCUAUGUUCGGAAGAGAUAACCGCUGAAAGCAUCUAAGCGGGAAACUCGCCUUAAGAUGAGAUAUCCCUGGAGGCUUGACCUCCUUGAAGGGUCGUUCGAGACCAGGACGUUGAUAGGUCGGGUGUGUAAGCGCAGUAAUGCGUUCAGCUAACCGAUACUAAUUGCCCGUAAGGCUUGAUCCUAUAACA